AUGAGCUCGGCUCCGCCGUAGCCAAGGAGGACACGGCGCUCCGCGCCGCCAUCCCCGUCCGGCAGCGGGUUGCCGUUUGCGUGUGGCGACUUGCCACUGGCGAGCCUCUCCGGCUCGUCUCCCGGCGGUUCGGCCUCGGUAUCUCCACCUGUCAUAAGCUCGUUCUCGAAGUCUGCACCGCCAUCCGGAACGUUCUCUUGCCGCGAUUGCUCCUCUGGCCCGCCCCAUCCGAAGCAGCCUCCGCAGCCGCGCGCUUCGAGGCUCUCUCCGGCAUCCCCAACGUCGUCGGCGCCAUGUACACAACCCACAUCCCCAUCAUCGCCCCCAAGGAGAGCGCCGCCACCUACUUCAACCGCCGCCACACCGAGCGCAACCAGAAGACCUCCUACACCGUCACCAUCCAAGGCGUCGUCGACCCCGACGGCGUCUUCACCGACGUCUGCAUCGGGUGGCCCGGGUCGAUGCCGGACGACCAAGUGCUCGAGAAAUCGG
This 492-nucleotide long non-coding RNA is filed under the name Musa acuminata (dwarf banana). RNAcentral's name for it is "long non-coding RNA (MACU_LNC003046)". Lineage: Eukaryota; Viridiplantae; Streptophyta; Magnoliopsida; Zingiberales; Musaceae. The record is from RNAcentral.